This 723-nucleotide long non-coding RNA is filed under the name Homo sapiens (human). RNAcentral describes it as "HSALNT0320385". The record is from RNAcentral. Lineage: Eukaryota; Metazoa; Chordata; Mammalia; Primates; Hominidae.
ACUGACUGGCACACCUACAAAAAUCUUAUCUUUGGGGUCCCCAUAGUACCCAGUGGAUUGCCUUGCACAUUGUAGGUGCUCAGUAUGUGUUUGCUAAAGACAUGACCCUGGAUAAAUCACUUCACCUCAAUUAGUCUGUUUCCCAAAUCUGAAAAUAAAAGCAGUGAAAUGGACAAGGUGACAGUUAAGGCCUUGAAUCAGAAGAGCCUCUGACAAUGUGACAAAUAGCUUAUGCUUGCUGAAUGGCUGACUUCUCUGAAAGGGAAAACAGCAGAAUCUGAGAGGGGAGAGUGGAGCGGAGUUCUUCCUCCCCUGUGCUAACAGGUAUGUGAUUCCUAUUAUUGUCUUUGGUGGGAAGGGAAGCAUGAGGCAGGCCCCUGGUCUACAGUGGAAGUGAAGCCUGAGGAUAGGCUAAGAAUUAGGGAAAUUAACAGGCUCCUAGGAGUCAGAAUGCUCAGCUUCUAUUCCCAGCACUGCUUAAAAUUUUCAGGGGAAAGUACUUUAUAAUCCUUGCAGCAUUUGGUGCCUUUAUUAGAAAAUCCUUUUAUGUGAGAUUUUGAGUUUCUUAUUUUCUCUCCUCACCAGGAUAAUGCACAGAAAGAGCUGAGGUGGGAGUCCGAGAGACAGGGGUCUGACAUGUAUAAUAUACUCUGCUGCACAGGAUUAUCAUGAGGGUUAAAUGAAAUAAUAAAUGUAGAUUACACUUAGCUCAGGACCUGCCAC